RNAcentral lists this ribosomal RNA (1765 nucleotides) under Salmonella enterica subsp. enterica serovar Typhimurium. Its description in RNAcentral is "bacterial LSU rRNA". It matches the Rfam family "Bacterial large subunit ribosomal RNA", at positions 1172 to 2912 of the family's 2925-position model. The record is from RNAcentral. Lineage: Bacteria; Pseudomonadati; Pseudomonadota; Gammaproteobacteria; Enterobacterales; Enterobacteriaceae.
GUAACGGGGCUAAACCAUGCACCGAAGCUGCGGCAGCGACGCUGAUACGUUCGUUGGGUAGGGGAGCGUUCUGUAAGCCUGUGAAGGUGUCCUGUGAGGCAUGCUGGAGGUAUCAGAAGUGCGAAUGCUGACAUAAGUAACGAUAAAGCGGGUGAAAAGCCCGCUCGCCGGAAGACCAAGGGUUCCUGUCCAACGUUAAUCGGGGCAGGGUGAGUCGACCCCUAAGGCGAGGCCGAAAGGCGUAGUCGAUGGGAAACGGGUUAAUAUUCCCGUACUUGGUGUUACUGCGAAGGGGGGACGGAGAAGGCUAUGUUGGCCGGGCGACGGUUGUCCCGGUUUAAGCGUGUAGGUGUGUGUUCCAGGUAAAUCCGGUUCACUUUAACACUGAGGCGUGACGACGAGGCACUACGGUGCUGAAGCAACAAAUGCCCUGCUUCCAGGAAAAGCCUCUAAGCAUCAGGUAACAUCAAAUCGUACCCCAAACCGACACAGGUGGUCAGGUAGAGAAUACCAAGGCGCUUGAGAGAACUCGGGUGAAGGAACUAGGCAAAAUGGUGCCGUAACUUCGGGAGAAGGCACGCUGACACGUAGGUGAAGUGAUUUACUCAUGGAGCUGAAGUCAGUCGAAGAUACCAGCUGGCUGCAACUGUUUAUUAAAAACACAGCACUGUGCAAACACGAAAGUGGACGUAUACGGUGUGACGCCUGCCCGGUGCCGGAAGGUUAAUUGAUGGGGUCAGCGCAAGCGAAGCUCCUGAUCGAAGCCCCGGUAAACGGCGGCCGUAACUAUAACGGUCCUAAGGUAGCGAAAUUCCUUGUCGGGUAAGUUCCGACCUGCACGAAUGGCGUAAUGAUGGCCAGGCUGUCUCCACCCGAGACUCAGUGAAAUUGAACUCGCUGUGAAGAUGCAGUGUACCCGCGGCAAGACGGAAAGACCCCGUGAACCUUUACUAUAGCUUGACACUGAACAUUGAGCCUUGAUGUGUAGGAUAGGUGGGAGGCUUUGAAGUGUGGACGCCAGUCUGCAUGGAGCCGACCUUGAAAUACCACCCUUUAAUGUUUGAUGUUCUAACGUGGACCCGUAAUCCGGGUUGCGGACAGUGUCUGGUGGGUAGUUUGACUGGGGCGGUCUCCUCCUAAAGAGUAACGGAGGAGCACGAAGGUUGGCUAAUCCUGGUCGGACAUCAGGAGGUUAGUGCAAUGGCAUAAGCCAGCUUGACUGCGAGCGUGACGGCGCGAGCAGGUGCGAAAGCAGGUCAUAGUGAUCCGGUGGUUCUGAAUGGAAGGGCCAUCGCUCAACGGAUAAAAGGUACUCCGGGGAUAACAGGCUGAUACCGCCCAAGAGUUCAUAUCGACGGCGGUGUUUGGCACCUCGAUGUCGGCUCAUCACAUCCUGGGGCUGAAGUAGGUCCCAAGGGUAUGGCUGUUCGCCAUUUAAAGUGGUACGCGAGCUGGGUUUAGAACGUCGUGAGACAGUUCGGUCCCUAUCUGCCGUGGGCGCUGGAGAACUGAGGGGGGCUGCUCCUAGUACGAGAGGACCGGAGUGGACGCAUCACUGGUGUUCGGGUUGUCAUGCCAAUGGCACUGCCCGGUAGCUAAAUGCGGAAGAGAUAAGUGCUGAAAGCAUCUAAGCACGAAACUUGCCCCGAGAUGAGUUCUCCCUGAGACUUAGAGUCUCCUGAAGGAACGUUGAAGACGACGACGUUGAUAGGCCGGGUGUGUAAGCGCAGCGAUGCGUUGAGCUAACCGGUACUAAUGAACCGUG